GGUUUAUGAUGACAAAGGACCUUGUCUGACCAUAAUGAUUUAAAGAAAUGAGCUUGAAAAAUUCUGAAAUC
Molecule: small nucleolar RNA, 71 nt
Organism: Cricetulus griseus (Chinese hamster)
Lineage: Eukaryota; Metazoa; Chordata; Mammalia; Rodentia; Cricetidae
Gene: Snord107
Product: small nucleolar RNA SNORD107
Source: Ensembl